RNAcentral lists this ribosomal RNA (444 nucleotides) under Amyciaea forticeps. Its description in RNAcentral is "partial 16S ribosomal RNA". Lineage: Eukaryota; Metazoa; Arthropoda; Arachnida; Araneae; Thomisidae. The record is from RNAcentral.
UUUUAUUAGAAAUCAUUAAUAAUAAAAUCUGCUCAAUGAUAAUUAAAUAGCCGCAUUUUAGUGCUAAGGUAGCAUAAUCAUUUGUCUUUUAAUUAAAGACUAGAAUAAAAGAUUUUACAUUUUAACUUUUUUGAACAAAUUUAACUAUAAAAAUUAAUUUAAUCGUAAAAAAGCUAUUAUAAAAUUAAAAGACGAUAAGACCCUAUUGAACUUAACUUUAGUUAAACUGGGGAAGUUAAUUAAAAAAAAUUUUAAUAAAAAUAAUUAUAAAAAUUAGAUCUAACAUAAUUAAUUUCUUAAACAAGUUACCAUAGGGAUAACAGCAUAAUAUUAUUUUAAAGCUCAUAUAAAAAAUAAAACUUAUGACCUCGAUGUUGACUUAAUAUCCUUUUUUGUGCAAUAAUAAAAAAAGGAAGUCUGUUCGACUUUUAAAAAAUUACAUGA